GAUAACCUCAUUUUUCGUUUUCCAUUUUGAACGUUUGAACAUUUGUCUUAUUUAAAUUUUUUACGAUUAAUAUUUUUAUUAUUACUAGGUGAUAAAAUAUGAAUAUUACUUUAUAUGUGACUAACUUUUUAAAGUUUUUUUACAAAUUUUUCAAAUAAAACGAAUGGUCAAUUGGACAUGAAAAA
RNAcentral lists this microRNA precursor (185 nucleotides) under Oryza brachyantha (malo sina). RNAcentral's name for it is "MIR812 microRNA precursor family". It matches the Rfam family "MIR812 microRNA precursor family". Lineage: Eukaryota; Viridiplantae; Streptophyta; Magnoliopsida; Poales; Poaceae. The record is from Rfam by way of RNAcentral.